GUGUGUGUUAGAGUACUGGAAAUGAGUGAAUAAAACUUUAAAAAGAUUCGAAAGUUUUUCUUUUCAACUUUUGAUAUGGUUGGUUAUUGCUAUAGUUAUAAAUAUACAUAGUAUAUUUGGAAGCAAAGUAAAAAGCAAAGUUUAAAAGAAAGUUAUUACAAUGCGUAUCAUUUUUAUCACAGUUCUUUUUGCAUCGAUAAUGUUAUUGGAGGCUAUAUUAACAGGAACUGACCCUAAACAGGGGUUUGAAGUGAAAUACGGUUGCUAUAAAUCAUACUGCUGGUCAUAUUGUUAUUAUCUUGAACCGAUGUGGUGUUGGACUAGUAAGUCAGCUUAUGAUGGAAAAAAAUCAUGUACGAAAGAUGAGCACUGUAAUGGUUAUUUCUACAAGUGUGUAUCAGCGUGUGGUUUCUAACACAUAUAAUUUUGAAUUAUUUUUCCUUUUUUUGCCUUUUAUUAAAAUCUUUUAAGCUUUUGCGAGACAUUAUUAAUCUGCUGACUUUGAUUUUUAAAAUUUUUAAUUAUUUUGUAUAAAAUUGUAAUUUUUUUGAAAAUACAAAUUUUUGUAUUUGA
Molecule: long non-coding RNA, 573 nt
Organism: Hydra vulgaris (swiftwater hydra)
Lineage: Eukaryota; Metazoa; Cnidaria; Hydrozoa; Anthoathecata; Hydridae
Source: RefSeq, a predicted model, not a curated record